RNAcentral lists this long non-coding RNA (881 nucleotides) under Rattus norvegicus (Norway rat). Its description in RNAcentral is "long non-coding RNA NONRATT001093". Lineage: Eukaryota; Metazoa; Chordata; Mammalia; Rodentia; Muridae. The record is from RNAcentral.
CGGCCGCGGCCAUGGGGGGCUUGAAAGACGAACUGCUCAAAGCCAUCUGGCACGCCUUCACCGCGCUCGACCUGGACCGCAGCGGCAAGGUCUCCAAGUCGCAACUCAAGGUGAGCCCCCUGCCGGCGCUUCCCGUAGGGCACGGGUCCCGCCGCAGUGUCCACAGGGAGGGCUGGUUGGGAAUGCGGCGGGGCGGCGGUCCUUACUCUUCCUUCAGGCGUCCGGGCGGUGCGCGGGGGCGAGCGCGCUGCUGCGGCUCCCACGACGGCUGAGGUGCGCUCCAAGAGGCACCGCGGGACCUGCAGAGCGUCCCCCGGCGACGGGAUGUAUGGGGGCCCGGGAGCCUCAGCCUCGUCUCCGGGACACUGAGCAGAGCCUCCCCGCCAGCGUCCACAGGUCUUGGGGCUACUGAGCGCGUGCCAAGCGGCUCGUGUCUUGCGGGCUCCCUGCAAAGGCCAUUGCUUUUGUAGAGUCCUCCUUAAGGGCUGCCCAGAGACCCCAUAGUAUGAGGUACGCAUAAAGGGAUACUUGUAAGUUGAGUAAAACCCAAAGUGGCACUCAGCCAGGAGAAAUUGGCAGCGUCUUGAAAAGCCUGAAAUAUAGAAACAGACAAGAGGAGCCAUUCAACAGGCAUUUUUAAAAUAUACACAUUUUGGAUCUGAAUGACUAGGUUUUCUUAGCCUCUCCUGAGGAGAAAUUUCCGAAGUUUGGGUUUGCUUUGUAUAUUUUGUGCAGUAAAUGAGGAAGUUCUUUUCAGUAGUGACUUUUAUGCCAGCAGGAUCUGGCGUUCUCACUUGUUUUCCUUUUGAUAUUAUUCAUUAAAUCAUAGUCUGGAAGGACCGAUGGAAAUUAGCCACACACUUUUACUUAAAAAAAAAAAA